AGAGUUUGAUCCUGGCUCAGGACGAACGCUGGCGGCGUGCUUAACACAUGCAAGUCGAACGGAGUUUUACUUUAAGCUUGCUUUUUGUAAAACUUAGUGGCGCACGGGUGAGUAACACGUGGGCAACCUGCCCGGAAGUCUGGGAUAACACCCCGAAAGGGAUGCUAAUACCGGAUACCUUCACUGAUUCUCAUGGAUUUGUGAAGAAAGAUUUAUUGCUUCCGGAUGGGCCCGCGUCCCAUUAGCUAGUUGGUGAGGUAACGGCUCACCAAGGCGACGAUGGGUAGCUGGUCUGAGAGGACGAUCAGCCACACUGGAACUGAGACACGGUCCAGACUCCUACGGGAGGCAGCAGUGGGGAAUCUUGCGCAAUGGGCGAAAGCCUGACGCAGCAACGCCGCGUGAACGAUGAAGGCCUUCGGGUCGUAAAGUUCUGUCAGGGGGGACGAUAAUGACGGUACCCCCGGAGGAAGCCCCGGCUAACUACGUGCCAGCCGCCGCGGUAAUUC
This 509-nucleotide ribosomal RNA is filed under the name uncultured soil bacterium. Its description in RNAcentral is "bacterial SSU rRNA". It matches the Rfam family "Bacterial small subunit ribosomal RNA", at positions 8 to 526 of the family's 1533-position model. The record is from RNAcentral.